AUGUGCAUUCAGGUAACACACCCACUGAGUGAUCAAGCCAUAAUUUCUUCCCGUCUUAUACUUGUACCUGAAAUUGCAGAGUCCAUAGGAACUUGUAAUGGUAUGAAGAAUCUUGCAGAUAAGCUAGCUGCCCUUGAAAAAAUAAAUUGGGAAAUGAUGACAUCCAACAAGAAAGUGGAGAAACUUCAAGAAGAUCUAGACUCUGUGUAA
Non-coding RNA from Vicia faba (fava bean), 210 nucleotides. Lineage: Eukaryota; Viridiplantae; Streptophyta; Magnoliopsida; Fabales; Fabaceae. The record is from the annotation of a GenBank genome assembly.